RNAcentral lists this ribosomal RNA (253 nucleotides) under uncultured bacterium. RNAcentral's name for it is "partial 16S ribosomal RNA". It matches the Rfam family "Bacterial small subunit ribosomal RNA", at positions 524 to 776 of the family's 1533-position model. The record is from RNAcentral.
UACGUAGGGAGCAAGCGUUGUUCGGAUUUACUGGGCGUAAAGGGCGCGUAGGCGGCGCGGCAAGUCACUUGUGAAAUGUCUGAGCUUAACUCAGAACGGCCAAGUGAUACUGCUGUGCUAGAGUGCAGAAGGGGCAAUCGGAAUUCUUGGUGUAGCGGUGAAAUGCGUAGAUAUCAAGAGGAACACCUGAGGUGAAGACGGGUUGCUGGGCUGACACUGACGCUGAGGCGCGAAAGCCAGGGGAGCAAACGGG